RNAcentral lists this ribosomal RNA (1938 nucleotides) under human gut metagenome. Its description in RNAcentral is "bacterial LSU rRNA". It matches the Rfam family "Bacterial large subunit ribosomal RNA", at positions 3 to 1990 of the family's 2925-position model. The record is from RNAcentral.
UUAAGCUACUAAGAGCACAGGGUGAAUGCCUUGGCACCAAGAGCCGAUGAAGGACGUGAUAAGCUGCGAAAAGCUGUGAGGAGGAGCAAAUAUCCAUUAUAUUCACAGAUAUCCGAAUGAGGAAACUCUAGUUAGGAAAAAAGCUAACUAAUCCAUACAUGAGUAAAGUAGUGUAUGUGAGGGGAACGUAGGGAACUGAAACAUCUAAGUACCUACAGGAAAAGAAAGAAAACUCGAUUCCUUGAGUAGUGGCGAGCGAAAGAGGAAGAGCCUAAACCAAGAGAAGUAAUUUUCUUGGGGUUAUGGACUACAUAAAUGAUUCAAUAGAUUUAGCAGAACUGUUUGGAAAAGCAGACCAAAGAUAGUGAAAGUCUAGUAAGCGAAAAAUCGAAAGACAUGGUAGUAUCCGGAGUAGUGCGAGACACGGGAAAUCUCGUAUGAAAAAGUGGGGACCACCCCAUAAGGCUAAAUACUACUUGGUGACCGAUAGUGGAACAGUACCGUGAGGGAAAGGUGAAAAGAACCCCGGGAGGGGAGUGAAAGAGAACCUGAAACCCUGUGUUUACAAGCAGACAAAGCACGUUAAGGUGCGAUGUCGUACUUUUUGUAGAACGGUCCGGCGAGUUAUUUUAUAUGGCAAGGUUAAGUACUAUUAAGGUACGAAGCCGAAGCGAGAGCGAGUCUGAAAAGGGCGAGUAAGUCAUAUGAAAUAGACCCGAAACCGAGUGACCUAUCCAUGGUCAGGAUGAAGCUUGAGUAAAAUCAAGUGGAGGUCCGAACCCAUAAGCGUUAAAAAGCUUCGGGAUGAACUGUGGAUAGCGGAGAAAUUCCAAUCGAACUCGGAGAUAGCUGGUUCUCCUCGAAAUAGUUUUAGGACUAGCCUUGUUUAGUAGUAUGUGGGGGUAGAGCACUGAAUGAGCUAGGGGCCAAACCAGGUUACUGAACUCUAUCAAACUCCGAAUACCAUGUACGUAAGAACAGGAGUCAGACUGCGGGAGCUAAGUUCCGUGGUCAAAAGGGAAAGAGCCCAGAUCGUCAAUUAAGGUCCCAAAGAUAUAGUUAAGUGGAAAACGAUGUGAUUUUGCGUAAACAACCAGGAUGUUGGCUUAGAAGCAGCCAUUCAUUUAAAGAGUGCGUAAUAGCUCACUGGUCGAGUGGAGUUGCGCGGAAAAUUACCGGGGCUAAACUAUACACCGAAAUUGCGGAUUCAUGAGUAAUCAUGAGUGGUAGAGGAGCAUUCUAUAGUAGGACGAAGGUAGAUCGAAAGGACUGCUGGACGAGAUAGAAGAGAGAAUGCCGGAAUAAGUAGCGAAAGCAUGGUGAGAAUCCAUGCCAUCGAAAGUCUAAGGUUUCCUGGGGAAGGUUCGUCCGCCCAGGGUAAGUCGGGACCUAAGGAGAGGCCGAAAGGCGUAUCUGAUGGACAGCAGGUAGAAAUUCCUGCACCACCGAUAUACUUAAAAAAUGCAAGGGACACAGUAGUGGAAGGAAAGCGAGGAAGAGGAAAGACUCGUAUCGAAAGAUAUAGUGAAAAAAUAAGUAACGAAUUUCCAAGAAGCACACUGGCGAGAAAAGCUUGUAGGAAUUGUAUAAAGGUGCCCGUACCGCAAACCGACACAGGUAGAUGAGGAGAGGAUCCUAAGAUGAGCGAGAGAAGCAUUGUUAAGGAACUCGGCAAAUUGACCCCGUAACUUAGGGAGAAGGGGUGCCAAAGUAAAAUUUGGUCGCAGAGAAGAGGCCCAAGCAACUGUUUAACAAAAACACAGGUUUCUGCUAAAUCGAAAGAUGAAGUAUAGGAGCUGACGCCUGCCCAGUGCUGGAAGGUUAAGGGGAAGAGUUAAGACUUGAUCUGAAGCUUAGAACCAAAGCCCCAGUGAACGGCGGCCGUAACUAUAACGGUCCUAAGGUAGCGAAAUUCCUUGUCAGGUAAGUUCUGACCCG